Molecule: non-coding RNA, 1841 nt
Organism: Oryctolagus cuniculus (rabbit)
Lineage: Eukaryota; Metazoa; Chordata; Mammalia; Lagomorpha; Leporidae
Source: RefSeq, a predicted model, not a curated record
CCUAACCUGGGAGUGUCACCUUCGGCACACCAAACAGAGCUCUCAGGCCACACCCAUCUCAAGCCUCUAAGGCUCCAUCAAAAACAGACAGUCCACUUAAUCUAGAGUCAUAGUACAACAAGAAAAAGCACCACAGUGAAGAAACCAAAUAUUUCCAAUAUGCCAAAGAACAAAUGCAAAAACCGAGGUAAUAAAAACAAGGAAGUCACUGUGACGCCCCCAAAUGAAAAAGACACCCCAAUUCAAGAUUAUGAAGAUGAUGAGAGGGAAGAAAUACAAGAUACAGAUCUCAAAAAAAUUGAUAAGAACAUUAAGAAGUUCUCAAGAACAAAUUCUUGAACUACAGAAAUCUUUGAAGGACAAGAUAGAAAAUCUCUCUCGUGAAAAUGAAAUAUUAAGGAGGAAUCAAAAUGAAAUGAAACAACUAGUACAACAGGAAACUGUGAUAGUGACGAGAAAUCAUAAUGAAGUGAAGAAUUCAAUAGAGGAAAUGAAAAGCACACUAGAGAGCCUUAAAAACAGAAUGGGUGAAGCAGAAGAGAGAAUAUUGGACUUAGAAGACAGAGAACAGGAAAGGAUACAGUCAGACCAAAGAAAAGAAGAGGAAAUUAGAAAUCUAAAACAUAUUGUCGGGAAUCUUCAGGAUACUAUUAACUAACCCAACAUUCGGGUUCUAGGAGUUCCUGAAGGCAUGGAGAGAGAGAAAGGAUUAGAAGGCCUUUUUAGUGAGAUAUUAGCAGAAGAUUUCCCAGGUUUGGAGAAGGACAGAGAAAUCCUAGUACAGGAAGCUCAUAGAACCCCUAAUAAACACGACCAAAAGAGAUCCUCACCACGACACAUUGUAAUUAAACUCUCCACAGUGAAACAUAAAGAAAAGAUCCUAAAAUGUGCAAGAGAGAAACGUCAGAUUACUCUCAGAGAAUCUCUAAUCAGACUCACAGCUGACUUCUCAUCAGAAACCCUACAAGCUAGGAGGGAAUGGCAAGAUAUAGCCCAGGUACUAAGAGAGAAAAACUGCCAGCCCAGAAUAUUAUAUCCUGUAAAUCUGAUUUUUAAAAGCAUUUUAUGUUCAUGAUGAAUGAGUUAAUGCUUGAUGGAUCAGGAUGGAGGCCUGACUCAGUUAUGGUUUCAGAAGUUGGGACUUCUGAUAAGUGGUUUGUGUUAGGUUGUUAGGGUGGAGUCUGUAAUCCAACUAUGACAUCAUUGUGAGAAGAGACCACACAGAGGAAAGAUGAAGAGUGUGCCUCCUUUGUCUCUUUGCUUCCUGUUCCACAUCGUGGUCCAACAACCUCCAACUACUCUUCCCACCCCUACCAGAUGCCUGAUAAGUAGGACUGCCAUAUUUUGGACUGAAAAUUCUCAAUAUAAGUUUUGUGUGGACAUGUGUUCAAAUAAGUUGAGUAAAUACCAAGAGGCAUCAGUUUUGGAUUGAAUGAGCUAGGAACAUAUUCAAAAAGAGAAAAAUGAAGAACACAUUGAAAACAUUGUGUCAAGAAAAUCACAUAAAUAAUGUGUGUCUAGAAAGAAGGUGUGAUCAGUUUGUCAAAAGCUGCUGCUCAUCCUGCUUGAGCACUGAGAUUUCAGGAGAGGAGAAACACAGUCAUCACUGGUAAUCUUCAAAAAGUGCCAUUUAGGACAGUUCGGAUUAUCAACUAGAAUGGAUUUGCCUGGUGUGCUUGAUGGAAAAAUAAAGAAGCUAGAGAGAUGAAAGCAUAUAAAGAAGAGAUCAACAUUUGCAACAAAGUGGAUUCAGCAAGAAGUGUAAUCAUAUAAGAGCGAAAGAAGGGCAUGCAGGAAUGGAAGAAAAUAAAAUGUAAUUAAGUUUCAUGAAUUAAACAUCC